UCGGGAAUUUUGCGCAAUGGCCGAAAGGCUGACGCAGCAACGCCGCGUGGGUGACGAAGGCCUUCGGGUUGUAAAGCCCUGUUGCUUGUGAAGAAUGGCCUCGGGAGGAAAUGCCCGGGGAUUGACGGUAGCAAGUGAGGAAGCCACGGCUAACUACGUGCCAGCAGCCGCGGUAAUACGUAGGUGGCGAGCGUUGUCCGGAAUUAUUGGGCGUAAAGGGCGUGUAGGCGGUCUGGUCAGUGAGGAGUGAAAGACCACGGCUUAACCGUGGGGGUGCUUCUCAUACUGCUGGACUUGAGGGUGCUAGAGGGCAGUGGAAUUCCCGGUGUAGCAGUGAAAUGCGUAGAGAUCGGGAGGAACACCAGUGGCGAAGGCGACUGCCUGGGGCACACCUGACGCUGAGGCGCGAAAGCUGGGGGAGCAAACGGG
Molecule: ribosomal RNA, 429 nt
Filed under: uncultured bacterium
Lineage: Bacteria
Description: bacterial SSU rRNA
Rfam family: Bacterial small subunit ribosomal RNA
Source: RNAcentral